Molecule: ribosomal RNA, 738 nt
Filed under: uncultured bacterium
Lineage: Bacteria
Description: bacterial SSU rRNA
Rfam family: Bacterial small subunit ribosomal RNA
Source: RNAcentral
UCGAGCGCGAAAGUCACUUCGGUGGCGAGUAGAGCGGCGAAAGGGUGAGUAAUGCUUGGGCAACUUACCCCUUGGACUGGGAUAGCCACUGGAAACGGUGGGUAAUACCAGAUGGUCUCGUGAGCACUGCGGUGCAUGCGAGUAAACGCGGGGGUCUUCGGACCUCGCGCCGAGGGAGAGGCCCGAGUCCUACCAGCUUGUUGGUGAGGUAAUGGCUCACCAAGGCGAAGACGGGUAGCCGGACUGAGAGGUUGGCCGGCCACACUGGCACUGAGACACUGGCCAGACUCCUACGGGAGGCUGCAGUCGAGAAUCUUCCGCAAUGGACGAAAGUCUGACGGAGCGACGCCGCGUGGAGGAAGAAGGCCUUCGGGUUGUAAACUCCUGUCAGAGCUUAUGAACCCCAGAUGGUUAAUACCCAUUUGGCUGACAAAGGGCUCAAAGGAAGCCACAGCUAACUUCGUGCCAGCAGCUGCGGUAAUACGAAGGUGGCGAGCGUUGUUCGGAUUCACUGGGCAUAAAGGGCGCGUAGGCGGCCUGGUAAGCGGUCUGUGAAAGCCUGGGGCUCAACCCCAGAACUGCAGACCGAACUGCCGGGCUAGAGAACGAGAGGGGAUUGUGGAACUCUAGGUGGAGCGGUGAAAUGCGUAGAUAUCUAGAGGAACACCGGUGGCGAAGGCGACAAUCUGGCUCGUUUCUGACGCUGAGGCGCGAAAGCGUGGGUAGCAAACAGGAUUA